GAAAUAGUAGUGCUGCUGUAACUCAAGUUAGUGUGACUUUUAGAAAACUUAUAGGAUUAAAAAUUAAUUUCAUUUCCACAGUUUGGUUUUAUCCAAUUGUGAUAUUCUCUUAAGAAACAUGGAAUAUAUUAUAGAAUGUUUGUUCUUUGUUUUUCUGAAGAAUGAGAAAAAGUGUUAGAUUUUCACAUUUAUGGUAUGAUUUACAGAUUUGUGAAGUGUAAAUGCAAUGCUCUGCUCUGUUUUCUUUAUGCUCUAAUAUAAUUAAUUUGUUUCUAGAUGCUGGCAUCACCAUCUACAUCAGGUCAGCUGUCUCAGUUUGGGGCAAGUUUAUACGGGCAACAAAAUGGAAGUGAAAAUGUGACAGGAUUGGACCUUUCAGAUUUCCCAGCAUUAGCAGACCGAAACAGAAGGGAAGGAAGUGGUAACCCAACUCCAUUAAUAAACCCCUUGGCUGGAAGAGCUCCUUAUGGUAAUUAAGCUUUUUAAUGAUGGCCUGUAGAAAGUUUCCAUGGUAUGUGCAUGCACACAUGCAUUUACAUGUACAUAUACAUAUGCUUGUGUGUUUACACAUGUAUGUUUGCAUUUUCUAAUCAGGUUAGUGUAAUUUUUUCAGAAUUGAUAUAUUAGAAGUGAUUUUUCUUCCCAGAAUACCAUGGUAUCAAAGUUAAAUGAGAAAACUUUGUACAAAAACCCAAGAGGAAGUCCUCAUUGGUAUGCAGAAGUUAUUUUCUUCUGUUAU
RNAcentral lists this small RNA (739 nucleotides) under Pongo abelii (Sumatran orangutan). Its description in RNAcentral is "retained intron". The record is from RNAcentral. Lineage: Eukaryota; Metazoa; Chordata; Mammalia; Primates; Hominidae.